CAUGGUGACAGUGAACAAGGUCGCGGAACAGACUGCCAGAGUUAUGGAACAACAGGACUUUACUGAUGAACAUGAGCGGGUGGGCAUGCUUACGCUGUAACUGUGGGUGGAUUUGUUGGCAGAGGAACAGCAGAUGCUGUGAGAUUUGGUCUAGGCCUCUUGCAUCCCAUCAUGUGCCUUUUUGUGUGUAACACCUAUGCAAGUGCAAAAUGUUUCCCAAGCCCGGGAACUGCUGUCUGCUCAUUGCUACCGAGCUAAAGACACUCCUAGCCAUGGAACAGGAUUACCAGCCUCCCCAAGUAUGGUUUGUGCAUCUGCAGCAGGCAGCGCUUUGAAUGGCAGCCAGUGAUGGGUAAGAUGGACUGGGCACUGACCAACCUAAGACAGGGGCUCCAUCAUGCUAUGGAGAUUCCCGAUGAUGGGUAAGGCUGACAACCUGAGAGUCCACAACCUAAGACAGGCACAUUCAA
Ochotona princeps (American pika) is the source of this 470-nucleotide long non-coding RNA. RefSeq lists it as uncharacterized. NCBI's taxonomy places the organism in Eukaryota, Metazoa, Chordata, Mammalia, Lagomorpha, Ochotonidae. The transcript is spliced from 2 exons. The record is from RefSeq and is a predicted model, not a curated record.